AACUUUCAACAACGGAUCUCUUGGUUCCGGUAUCGAUGAAGAACGCAGCGAAAUGCGAUAAAUAAUGUGAAUUGCAGAAUUCAGUGAAUCAUCGAGUCUUUGAACGCACAUUGCGCCCCCUGGUAUUCCGGGGGGCAUGCCUGUCCGAGCGUCAU
Molecule: ribosomal RNA, 155 nt
Filed under: leaf litter ascomycete strain its026
Lineage: Eukaryota; Fungi; Ascomycota
Also listed under: 6 other names
Description: 5.8S ribosomal RNA
Rfam family: 5.8S ribosomal RNA
About the family: 5.8S ribosomal RNA (5.8S rRNA) is a component of the large subunit of the eukaryotic ribosome. It is transcribed by RNA polymerase I as part of the 45S precursor that also contains 18S and 28S rRNA.
Source: RNAcentral